AAGAGAAGUCAAGGACAGAAAGAACUGCUAAUUCUUUCUAGCCGGAGUUCGAAUCCCCGGUUCACUUA
This 68-nucleotide transfer RNA is filed under the name Beringraja pulchra (mottled skate). RNAcentral describes it as "tRNA-Ser". Lineage: Eukaryota; Metazoa; Chordata; Chondrichthyes; Rajiformes; Rajidae. The record is from RNAcentral.